Molecule: ribosomal RNA, 541 nt
Filed under: uncultured Geobacteraceae bacterium
Lineage: Bacteria; Pseudomonadati; Thermodesulfobacteriota; Desulfuromonadia; Geobacterales; Geobacteraceae
Description: bacterial SSU rRNA
Rfam family: Bacterial small subunit ribosomal RNA
Source: RNAcentral
KARAGUUUGAUCCUGGCUCARAACGAACGCYGGCGGCGUGCUUAACACAUGCAAGUCGAACGUGAUUGGAAGCUUGCUUCCAUGAAAGUGGCGCACGGGUGAKUAACGCGUGGAUAACCUGCCCUGGUAUCCGGAAUAACAUCUCGAAAGGGGUGCUAAUACCGGAUAAGCCUACGGAGCCCUCGGUCUCUGCAGGAAAAGGKGGCCUCUAUUUAUAAGCUACCGUAUCAGGAUGGGUCCGCGUACCAUUAGCUAGUUGGUGGGGUAAUGGCCUACCAAGGCGACGAUGGUUAGCUGGUCUGAGAGGAUGAUCAGCCACACUGGAACUGARACACGGUCCAGACUCCUACGGGAGGCAGCAGUGGGGAAUUUUGCGCAAUGGGGGAAACCCUGACGCAGCAACGCCGCGUGAGUGAUGAARGCUUUCGGGUCGUAAAGCUCUGUCAGAGGGGAAGAAAUGGAAACGGUUAAUACCCGUUUUCCUUGACGGUACCCUCAAAGGAAGCACCGGCUAAYUCCGUGCCAGCAGCCGCGGUAAUAC